This 460-nucleotide ribosomal RNA is filed under the name uncultured bacterium. Its description in RNAcentral is "partial 16S ribosomal RNA". It matches the Rfam family "Bacterial small subunit ribosomal RNA", at positions 338 to 795 of the family's 1533-position model. The record is from RNAcentral.
CCUACGGGUGGCAGCAGUGAGGAAUAUUGGUCAAUGGACGAGAGUCUGAACCAGCCAAGUAGCGUGAAGGAUGACUGCCCUAUGGGUUGUAAACUUCUUUUAUAUGGGAAUAAAAUGUUCCACGUGUGGGAUUUUGUAUGUACCAUAUGAAUAAGGAUCGGCUAACUCCGUGCCAGCAGCCGCGGUAAUACGGAGGAUCCGAGCGUUAUCCGGAUUUAUUGGGUUUAAAGGGAGAGUAGGUGGAUUGUUAAGUCAGUUGUGAAAGUUUGCGGCUCAACCGUAAAAUUGCAGUUGAAAAUGGCAGUCUUGAGUACAGUAGAGGUGGGCGGAAUUCGUGGUGUAGCGGUGAAAUGCUUAGAUAUCACGAAGAACUCCGAUUGCGAAGGCAGUUCACUGGACUGCAACUGACACUGAGGCUCGAAAGUGUGGGUAUCAAACAGGAUUAGAUACCCCAGUAGUC